RNAcentral lists this ribosomal RNA (497 nucleotides) under uncultured bacterium. Its description in RNAcentral is "partial 16S ribosomal RNA". It matches the Rfam family "Bacterial small subunit ribosomal RNA", at positions 28 to 507 of the family's 1533-position model. The record is from RNAcentral.
GAUGAACGCUGGCGGCGUGCCUAAUACAUGCAAGUCGAGCGAACAGACGAGGAGCUUGCUCCUCUGACGUUAGCGGCGGACGGGUGAGUAACACGUGGAUAACCUACCUAUAAGACUGGGAUAACUUCGGGAAACCGGAGCUAAUACCGGAUAAUAUAUUGAACCGCAUGGUUCAAUAGUGAAAGACGGUUUUGCUGUCACUUAUAGAUGGAUCCGCGCCGCAUUAGCUAGUUGGUAAGGUAACGGCUUACCAAGGCAACGAUGCGUAGCCGACCUGAGAGGGUGAUCGGCCACACUAGAACUGAGACACGGUCCAGACUCCUACGGGAGGCAGCAGUAGGGAAUCUUCCGCAAGGGGCGAAAGCCUGACGGAGCAACGCCGCGUGGGUGAUGAAGGUCUUCGGAUCGUAAAGCUCUGUUAUUAGGGAAGAAGAAAUGUGUAAGUAACUAUGCACGGCUUGACGGUACCUAAUCAGAAAGCGACGGCUAACUACGUG